Molecule: transfer RNA, 85 nt
Filed under: Comamonas sp.
Lineage: Bacteria; Pseudomonadati; Pseudomonadota; Betaproteobacteria; Burkholderiales; Comamonadaceae
Also listed under: 24 other names
Description: tRNA-Leu
Rfam family: tRNA
About the family: Transfer RNA (tRNA) molecules are approximately 80 nucleotides in length. Their secondary structure includes four short double-helical elements and three loops (D, anti-codon, and T loops). Further hydrogen bonds mediate the characteristic L-shaped molecular structure. tRNAs have two regions of fundamental functional importance: the anti-codon, which is responsible for specific mRNA codon recognition, and the 3' end, to which the tRNAs corresponding amino acid is attached (by aminoacyl-tRNA synthetases). tRNAs cope with the degeneracy of the genetic code in two manners: having more than one tRNA (with a specific anti-codon) for a particular amino acid; and 'wobble' base-pairing, i.e. permitting non-standard base-pairing at the 3rd anti-codon position.
Source: RNAcentral
GCCCGGGUGGUGGAAUUGGUAGACGCAGGGGACUCAAAAUCCCCCGCCGCAAGGCGUGCCGGUUCGAUUCCGGCCCCGGGCACCA